UAUUAUGAGAGUUUGAUCCUGGCUCAGGAUGAACGCUGGCGGCGUGCCUAACACAUGCAAGUCGAGCGAAGGAUAUAUAGUGAAAUCUUCGGAUUGAUCUAUAUAAACUUAGCGGCGGAUGGGUGAGUAACGCGUGAGAAAUCUACCAUGCACUAGGGGAUAGCCUCGGGAAACUGGGAAUAAUACCCUAUGACACUUACAUUUCGCAUGAAAAGUAAGUUAAAGCGUUUAGCGGUGCUUGAUGAUCUCGCGUCCCAUUAGUUAGUUGGUGAGGUAAUGGCUCACCAAGACUACGAUGGGUAGCCGGCCUGAGAGGGUGACCGGCCACACUGGAACUGAGACACGGUCCAGACUCCUACGGGAGGCAGCAGUGGGGAAUAUUGCACA
This 387-nucleotide ribosomal RNA is filed under the name Anaerosalibacter bizertensis. RNAcentral's name for it is "bacterial SSU rRNA". It matches the Rfam family "Bacterial small subunit ribosomal RNA", at positions 1 to 370 of the family's 1533-position model. The record is from RNAcentral. Lineage: Bacteria; Bacillati; Bacillota; Tissierellia; Tissierellales; Sporanaerobacteraceae.